ACCAGGUGUGGUGGCUCAUGCCUGUAAUCCCAGCAGCUCAGGAGGCUGAGGCAGGAGGAUCACGAGUUCAAAGCCAGCCUCAGCCAAAGUGAGUCACUAAACAACUCAGUGAGACCCUGUCUCUA
Molecule: small RNA, 125 nt
Filed under: Marmota monax (woodchuck)
Lineage: Eukaryota; Metazoa; Chordata; Mammalia; Rodentia; Sciuridae
Source: RNAcentral